This 694-nucleotide ribosomal RNA is filed under the name uncultured Lachnospiraceae bacterium. Its description in RNAcentral is "bacterial SSU rRNA". It matches the Rfam family "Bacterial small subunit ribosomal RNA", at positions 67 to 774 of the family's 1533-position model. Lineage: Bacteria; Bacillati; Bacillota; Clostridia; Lachnospirales; Lachnospiraceae. The record is from RNAcentral.
CGGAUUUCUUCGGAUUGAAGCAAUUGUGACUGAGCGGCGGACGGGUGAGUAACGCGUGGGUAACCUGCCUCAUACAGGGGGAUAACAGUUGGAAACGGCUGCUAAUACCGCAUAAGCGCACAGUACCGCAUGGUACCGUGUGAAAAACUCCGGUGGUAUGAGAUGGACCCGCGUCUGAUUAGGUAGUUGGUGGGGUAACGGCCUACCAAGCCGACGAUCAGUAGCCGACCUGAGAGGGUGACCGGCCACAUUGGGACUGAGACACGGCCCAAACUCCUACGGGAGGCAGCAGUGGGGAAUAUUGCACAAUGGGGGAAACCCUGAUGCAGCGACGCCGCGUGAGCGAUGAAGUAUUUCGGUAUGUAAAGCUCUAUCAGCAGGGAAGAAAAUGACGGUACCUGACUAAGAAGCCCCGGCUAACUACGUGCCAGCAGCCGCGGUAAUACGUAGGGGGCAAGCGUUAUCCGGAUUUACUGGGUGUAAAGGGAGCGUAGACGGCAUGGCAAGCCAGAUGUGAAAGCCCGGGGCUCAACCCCGGGACUGCAUUUGGAACUGUCAGGCUAGAGUGUCGGAGAGGAAAGCGGAAUUCCUAGUGUAGCGGUGAAAUGCGUAGAUAUUAGGAGGAACACCAGUGGCGAAGGCGGCUUUCUGGACGAUGACUGACGUUGAGGCUCGAAAGCGUGGGGAGCAAACA